Molecule: non-coding RNA, 81 nt
Organism: Cajanus cajan (pigeon pea)
Lineage: Eukaryota; Viridiplantae; Streptophyta; Magnoliopsida; Fabales; Fabaceae
Source: Rfam
UGUUGAAUGACGAUAAGAAUCAUUCGGAUUCCCACUGAUGUUGUUAAUGUAUGAUUUCACUACCAGCUACUUCUGACAACA